CCUACGGGGGGCAGCAGUGAGGAAUAUUGGUCAAUGGGCGAGAGCCUGAACCAGCCAAGUCGCGUGAGGGAGUACUGCCCUAUGGGUUGUAAACCUCUUUUGUCGGGGAGCAAAAGCCAGACGUGUCCGGCUGUGAGAGUACCCGAAGAAAAAGCAUCGGCUAACUCCGUGCCAGCAGCCGCGGUAAUACGGAGGAUGCGAGCGUUAUCCGGAUUUAUUGGGUUUAAAGGGUGCGCAGGCGGAUUUUUAAGUCAGCGGUAAAAUCGUGGGGCUCAACCCCAUCCAGCCGUUGAAACUGGGGAUCUAGAGUGUGCGAGAGGUAUGCGGAAUGCGUGGUGUAGCGGUGAAAUGCAUAGAUAUCACGCAGAACCCCGAUUGCGAAGGCAGCAUACCGGUGCACAACUGACGCUCAGGCACGAAAGCGUGGGUAUCGAACAGGAUUAGAUACCCUUGUAGUC
RNAcentral lists this ribosomal RNA (458 nucleotides) under uncultured bacterium. RNAcentral's name for it is "partial 16S ribosomal RNA". It matches the Rfam family "Bacterial small subunit ribosomal RNA", at positions 338 to 795 of the family's 1533-position model. The record is from RNAcentral.